Molecule: non-coding RNA, 200 nt
Organism: Arvicanthis niloticus (Nile rat)
Lineage: Eukaryota; Metazoa; Chordata; Mammalia; Rodentia; Muridae
Source: RefSeq, a predicted model, not a curated record
GCGUCACAAAGGCCCUCGGCGGCGUUGGCGGCGGCGGCGGGGACACAGCACCGCGGGCGGCGGCGCGGACGGCGGCGAUGGGCGGGGCCUAGCGACGAAGUUCUGCCCACCAUGUGGCAGUGUUGCAGGAAGCAAGCAGAAAAUGAUGGCUGGGAAAUAGGAUCAGUACAUGGCUGCCAAGAUCCAGAUGCUGGAGAAGC